CCUACGGGGAGCAGCAGUGGGGGAUAUUGCACAAUGGGGGAAACCCUGAUGCAGCGACGCCGCGUGUGGGAAGACGGUCUUCUGGAUUGUAAACCACUGUCCCCAGGGACGAAAAGGACGGUACCUGGGGAGGAAGCUCCGGCUAACUACGUGCCAGCAGCCGCGGUAAUACGUGGGGAGCAAGCUGUGUCCGUAAUUACUGGGUGUAAGGGGAGCGUAGGCGGGGAUGCAAGUUGGGUGUCAAAACUACCGGCUCAACCGAUAGUCGCACUCAAAACUGCAGCUCUUGAGUGAAGUAGAGGCAGGCGGAAUUCCUAGUGUAGCGGUGAAAUACGUAGAUAUUAGGAGGAACACCAGUGGCGAAGGCGGCCUGCUGGGCUUUUACUGACGCUGAGGCUCGAAAGUGUGGGGAGCAAACAGGAUUAGAUACCCCAGUAGUC
Molecule: ribosomal RNA, 440 nt
Filed under: uncultured bacterium
Lineage: Bacteria
Description: partial 16S ribosomal RNA
Rfam family: Bacterial small subunit ribosomal RNA
Source: RNAcentral